CCUUAUCAUUCUUUCGCCCCGUGUGUGCAUUGUCGACUGGACGGAGAACUGAUAAGGGC
Molecule: microRNA precursor, 59 nt
Filed under: Bactrocera dorsalis (oriental fruit fly)
Lineage: Eukaryota; Metazoa; Arthropoda; Insecta; Diptera; Tephritidae
Description: microRNA bdo-mir-184 precursor
Gene: bdo-mir-184
Source: miRBase by way of RNAcentral